AAAGAGCUUGCUCUUUCCGGAAUUGAGUGGCAAACGGGUGAGUAACACGUAAACAACCUGCCUUCAGGAUGGGGACAACAGACGGAAACGACUGCUAAUACCGAAUAAGUUCCAAGAGCCGCAUGGCCCAUGGAAGAAAAGGUGGCCUCUACCUGUAAGCUAUCGCCUGAAGAGGGGUUUGCGUCUGAUUAGCUGGUUGGAGGGGUAACGGCCCACCAAGGCGACGAUCAGUAGCCGGUCUGAGAGGUUAACCCCCACACUGGUACUGAGACACGGACCAGACUCC
RNAcentral lists this ribosomal RNA (286 nucleotides) under uncultured Dialister sp. RNAcentral describes it as "partial 16S ribosomal RNA". It matches the Rfam family "Bacterial small subunit ribosomal RNA", at positions 73 to 339 of the family's 1533-position model. Lineage: Bacteria; Bacillati; Bacillota; Negativicutes; Veillonellales; Veillonellaceae. The record is from RNAcentral.